GUGCUUGCUUCCACGGCACACAGACUACAUUGGAAUGAUUCCUAGAUUAGCAUAGCCCCUGCACAGAGAUGACACACAAAUUCAUGAGUAUGUCAAGCUUCAA
Molecule: small nuclear RNA, 103 nt
Filed under: Nannospalax galili (Upper Galilee mountains blind mole rat)
Lineage: Eukaryota; Metazoa; Chordata; Mammalia; Rodentia; Spalacidae
Source: RNAcentral